Diabrotica virgifera virgifera (western corn rootworm) is the source of this 901-nucleotide long non-coding RNA. RefSeq lists it as uncharacterized. The record is from RefSeq and is a predicted model, not a curated record. The transcript has 3 exons. NCBI's taxonomy places the organism in Eukaryota, Metazoa, Arthropoda, Insecta, Coleoptera, Chrysomelidae.
GCGUUACGUAGGGGGGAGGACAAGAAUCUACAGGUCGAGCAAGUCUCGUAAAUUUCACGAUUGCGAGCCACGCUUCACGCAACCGUGUUUGCGUACUUGUGUUUCGAGUUGCGUGGUCGUGCGGAGUUAUAUUUACCAAAUUUAAAUCCGUUCCAACAUGCUGUCAAAAUUAAAUCAAUAUGUCAAUAUGGCUACUGGGUGUAAAAGAUAAAUCUUAUUCUAUCUGUUCUUAAUGAGUUUUAGAUAAUUUUAGUUGUAUUUCUUUGUAAUUUUGUGUUGUACAAAGAUUAAUUUAACAUUUUCUCUGGAAGUAUUAAUUUAGGAAGAUAAUAUGCUUCAUUGGUGUUGUGUUUUGAAGUGUGAAAUGCAAAGUAAUUGUGAUAAAGUCGAGAUAAAGUUCACUUUUAAACUGAACUAAAUAAGGUAUCUGAGAGACAACAAUGGUUAAAUGCAAUACAAUGUACAGGUUUUACUAGCGAAAUGAAAAUUUUCCUGUCCUGUCUGCUGUAAUCAUUUUAUAUCUGGAAAACCAGCCGACUUAAUCGAUAAUAACAAUCUCCAGAUUGGGUUUCUUCAAUAAAUAUGGGCUAUAAACACAAUGAAAUAAGUUCCCCAAAAUCUAAAAUGGAGUGGUAUCAAAGGAGAAUUAAAGGAAAAAAUAUUCAUAUUGAAAUUAUUUAUAAGGCACUGGACUGUCUUAAAUUCUACAAUAAUACUAGAAUCAGCUGAGAGAAGUGGUCUACAAAAAACCAGGAAGGAAACGGAAUAUGUGGCUACGAAAGGCAAAAGAAAGGUUUACAAAGCAAAUGUGACACAUUUUUUUGAAAUAUUUAGGAAUAUCAGUAAAUUGCAUUAAAAGAAUGUAUGAAAAGAUUUUGUUCAAUAAAAAUGUUUAUAUUUA